Molecule: non-coding RNA, 73 nt
Organism: Cordylochernes scorpioides
Lineage: Eukaryota; Metazoa; Arthropoda; Arachnida; Pseudoscorpiones; Chernetidae
Source: the annotation of a GenBank genome assembly
UUCCCACGUUGGGAAUCAAUCCUGGGCAUUCAUGGAUAAGAGCCAAAUAUCUUAGCCACUAGACCAUGUGGGA